RNAcentral lists this transfer RNA (76 nucleotides) under Brucella ovis ATCC 25840. RNAcentral's name for it is "tRNA-Cys". It matches the Rfam family "tRNA". Rfam says of the family: Transfer RNA (tRNA) molecules are approximately 80 nucleotides in length. Their secondary structure includes four short double-helical elements and three loops (D, anti-codon, and T loops). Lineage: Bacteria; Pseudomonadati; Pseudomonadota; Alphaproteobacteria; Hyphomicrobiales; Brucellaceae. The record is from RNAcentral.
AGGCCUCGUGGCGGAGUGGUUACGCAGAGGACUGCAAAUCCUUGCACCCCGGUUCGAUUCCGGGCGAGGCCUCCAA